AUACGUAGGGAGCGAGCGUUGUCCGGAAUCACUGGGUGCAAAGGGAGCGUAGGCGGGAGUGCGAGUCCGAUGUGAGAAACAUGGGCUCAACCCAUGGGCUGCAUUUGAAACUGCAUUUCUUGAGUGACGUAGAGGUAAGCGGAAUUCCUGGUGUAGAGGGGCAAUGCGUAGAUAUCAGGAGGAAAACCGGUGGCUAAGGCGGCUUACUGGGCUUUUACUGGCGCUGAGGCUCGAAAGCGUGGGGAGCAAACAGGAUUAGAUACCCUUGUAGUCCACGCUGUAAACGAUGAUUACUAGGUGUGGGGGGACUGACCCCUUCCGUGCCGCAGUUAACACAAUAAGUAAUCCACCUGGGGAGUACGGCCGCAAGGUUGAAACUCAAAUGAAUUGACGGGG
Molecule: ribosomal RNA, 396 nt
Filed under: uncultured bacterium
Lineage: Bacteria
Description: partial 16S ribosomal RNA
Rfam family: Bacterial small subunit ribosomal RNA
Source: RNAcentral